RNAcentral lists this ribosomal RNA (265 nucleotides) under uncultured bacterium. RNAcentral's name for it is "partial 16S ribosomal RNA". It matches the Rfam family "Bacterial small subunit ribosomal RNA", at positions 355 to 611 of the family's 1533-position model. The record is from RNAcentral.
UGAGGAAUUUUGGGCAAUGGGGGAAACCCUGACCCAGCGACGCCGCGUGGGCGAUGAAGGUCUUCGGAUCGUAAAGCCCUGUGAGUGGGGAAGAAGGGAUUGGUUGCUAAUAUCAACCAGUUUUGACAGUACCCACAGAGGAAGCCCCGGCUAACUACGUGCCAGCAGCCGCGGUAAAACGUAGGGGGCUAGCGUUGUUCGGAAUUACUGGGCGUAAAGCGCGUGUAGGCGGUUUUGUAAGUCGGAAGUGAAAUUCCUCGGCUCA